RNAcentral lists this ribosomal RNA (253 nucleotides) under uncultured bacterium. Its description in RNAcentral is "partial 16S ribosomal RNA". It matches the Rfam family "Bacterial small subunit ribosomal RNA", at positions 524 to 776 of the family's 1533-position model. The record is from RNAcentral.
UACGUAGGGCGCAAGCGUUGUCCGGAAUUAUUGGGCGUAAAGAGCUCGUAGGCGGCUUGUCACGUCGAUUGUGAAAGCCCGAGGCUUAACCUCGGGUCUGCAGUCGAUACGGGCUAGCUAGAGUGUGGUAGGGGAGAUCGGAAUUCCUGGUGUAGCGGUGAAAUGCGCAGAUAUCAGGAGGAACACCGGUGGCGAAGGCGGCUCUCUAGUACGGUACUGACGCUGAGACGCGAAAGCGUGGGGAGCGAACAGG